This 1203-nucleotide ribosomal RNA is filed under the name Escherichia coli. RNAcentral describes it as "partial 23S ribosomal RNA". It matches the Rfam family "Bacterial large subunit ribosomal RNA", at positions 1502 to 2685 of the family's 2925-position model. The record is from RNAcentral. Lineage: Bacteria; Pseudomonadati; Pseudomonadota; Gammaproteobacteria; Enterobacterales; Enterobacteriaceae.
UUGUCCCGGUUUAAGCGUGUAGGCUGGUUUUCCAGGCAAAUCCGGAAAAUCAAGGCUGAGGCGUGAUGACGAGGCACUACGGUGCUGAAGCAACAAAUGCCCUGCUUCCAGGAAAAGCCUCUAAGCAUCAGGUAACAUCAAAUCGUACCCCAAACCGACACAGGUGGUCAGGUAGAGAAUACCAAGGCGCUUGAGAGAACUCGGGUGAAGGAACUAGGCAAAAUGGUGCCGUAACUUCGGGAGAAGGCACGCUGAUAUGUAGGUGAAGUCCCUCGCGGAUGGAGCUGAAAUCAGUCGAAGAUACCAGCUGGCUGCAACUGUUUAUUAAAAACACAGCACUGUGCAAACACGAAAGUGGACGUAUACGGUGUGACGCCUGCCCGGUGCCGGAAGGUUAAUUGAUGGGGUCAGCGCAAGCGAAGCUCUUGAUCGAAGCCCCGGUAAACGGCGGCCGUAACUAUAACGGUCCUAAGGUAGCGAAAUUCCUUGUCGGGUAAGUUCCGACCUGCACGAAUGGCGUAAUGAUGGCCAGGCUGUCUCCACCCGAGACUCAGUGAAAUUGAACUCGCUGUGAAGAUGCAGUGUACCCGCGGCAAGACGGAAAGACCCCGUGAACCUUUACUAUAGCUUGACACUGAACAUUGAGCCUUGAUGUGUAGGAUAGGUGGGAGGCUUAGAAGUGUGGACGCCAGUCUGCAUGGAGCCGACCUUGAAAUACCACCCUUUAAUGUUUGAUGUUCUAACGUUGACCCGUAAUCCGGGUUGCGGACAGUGUCUGGUGGGUAGUUUGACUGGGGCGGUCUCCUCCUAAAGAGUAACGGAGGAGCACGAAGGUUGGCUAAUCCUGGUCGGACAUCAGGAGGUUAGUGCAAUGGCAUAAGCCAGCUUGACUGCGAGCGUGACGGCGCGAGCAGGUGCGAAAGCAGGUCAUAGUGAUCCGGUGGUUCUGAAUGGAAGGGCCAUCGCUCAACGGAUAAAAGGUACUCCGGGGAUAACAGGCUGAUACCGCCCAAGAGUUCAUAUCGACGGCGGUGUUUGGCACCUCGAUGUCGGCUCAUCACAUCCUGGGGCUGAAGUAGGUCCCAAGGGUAUGGCUGUUCGCCAUUUAAAGUGGUACGCGAGCUGGGUUUAGAACGUCGUGAGACAGUUCGGUCCCUAUCUGCCGUGGGCGCUGGAGAACUGAGGGGGGCUGCUCCUAGUACG